RNAcentral lists this ribosomal RNA (1100 nucleotides) under Salmonella enterica subsp. enterica serovar Newport. Its description in RNAcentral is "partial 23S ribosomal RNA". It matches the Rfam family "Bacterial large subunit ribosomal RNA", at positions 679 to 1773 of the family's 2925-position model. The record is from RNAcentral. Lineage: Bacteria; Pseudomonadati; Pseudomonadota; Gammaproteobacteria; Enterobacterales; Enterobacteriaceae.
GAGUCUUAAUUGGGCGUUAAGUUGCAGGGUAUAGACCCGAAACCCGGUGAUCUAGCCAUGGGCAGGUUGAAGGUUGGGUAACACUAACUGGAGGACCGAACCGACUAAUGUUGAAAAAUUAGCGGAUGACCUGUGGCUGGGGGUGAAAGGCCAAUCAAACCGGGAGAUAGCUGGUUCUCCCCGAAAGCUAUUUAGGUAGCGCCUCGUGAAUUCAUCUCCGGGGGUAGAGCACUGUUUCGGCUAGGGGGCCAUCCCGGCUUACCAACCCGAUGCAAACUGCGAAUACCGGAGAAUGUUAUCACGGGAGACACACGGCGGGUGCUAACGUCCGUCGUGAAGAGGGAAACAACCCAGACCGCCAGCUAAGGUCCCAAAGUCAUGGUUAAGUGGGAAACGAUGUGGGAAGGCCCAGACAGCCAGGAUGUUGGCUUAGAAGCAGCCAUCAUUUAAAGAAAGCGUAAUAGCUCACUGGUCGAGUCGGCCUGCGCGGAAGAUGUAACGGGGCUAAACCAUGCACCGAAGCUGCGGCAGCGACACUCAGGUGUUGUUGGGUAGGGGAGCGUUCUGUAAGCCUGUGAAGGUGGCCUGUGAGGGUUGCUGGAGGUAUCAGAAGUGCGAAUGCUGACAUAAGUAACGAUAAAGCGGGUGAAAAGCCCGCUCGCCGGAAGACCAAGGGUUCCUGUCCAACGUUAAUCGGGGCAGGGUGAGUCGACCCCUAAGGCGAGGCCGAAAGGCGUAGUCGAUGGGAAACGGGUUAAUAUUCCCGUACUUGGUGUUACUGCGAAGGGGGGACGGAGAAGGCUAUGUUGGCCGGGCGACGGUUGUCCCGGUUUAAGCGUGUAGGCUGGUUUUCCAGGCAAAUCCGGAAAAUCAAGGCUGAGGCGUGACGACGAGGCACUACGGUGCUGAAGCAACAAAUGCCCUGCUUCCAGGAAAAGCCUCUAAGCAUCAGGUAACAUCAAAUCGUACCCCAAACCGACACAGGUGGUCAGGUAGAGAAUACCAAGGCGCUUGAGAGAACUCGGGUGAAGGAACUAGGCAAAAUGGUGCCGUAACUUCGGGAGAAGGCACGCUGACACGUAGGUGAAGUGAUUUACUCA